GUGGGGAAUAUUGCACAAUGGGCGCAAGCCUGAUGCAGCAACGCCGCGUGAGGGAUGACGGCCUUCGGGUUGUAAACCUCUUUUAGUAGGGAAGAAGCGAAAGUGACGGUACCUGCAGAAAAAGCACCGGCUAACUACGUGCCAGCAGCCGCGGUAAUACGUAGGGUGCAAGCGUUGUCCGGAAUUAUUGGGCGUAAAGAGCUCGUAGGCGGCUUGUCGCGUCUGCUGUGAAAACCCGAGGCUCAACCUCGGGCCUGCAGUGGGUACGGGCAGGCUAGAGUGCGGUAGGGGAGAUUGGAAUUCCUGGUGUAGCGGUGGAAUGCGCAGAUAUCAGGAGGAACACCGAUGGCGAAGGCAGAUCUCUGGGCCGUAACUGACGCUGAGGAGCGAAAGCAUGGGGAGCGAACAGGAUUAGAUACCCCGGUAGUCC
This 430-nucleotide ribosomal RNA is filed under the name uncultured bacterium. Its description in RNAcentral is "partial 16S ribosomal RNA". It matches the Rfam family "Bacterial small subunit ribosomal RNA", at positions 354 to 796 of the family's 1533-position model. The record is from RNAcentral.